RNAcentral lists this ribosomal RNA (492 nucleotides) under uncultured bacterium. RNAcentral's name for it is "partial 16S ribosomal RNA". It matches the Rfam family "Bacterial small subunit ribosomal RNA", at positions 29 to 507 of the family's 1533-position model. The record is from RNAcentral.
AGUGAACGCUGGCGGUAGGCCUAACACAUGCAAGUCGAACGGCAGCACAGUAAGAGCUUGCUCUUACGGGUGGCGAGUGGCGGACGGGUGAGGAAUACAUCGGAAUCUACUUUUUCGUGGGGGAUAACGUAGGGAAACUUACGCUAAUACCGCAUACGACCUACGGGUGAAAGCAGGGGAUCUUCGGACCUUGCGCGAUUGAAUGAGCCGAUGUCGGAUUAGCUAGUUGGCGGGGUAAAGGCCCACCAAGGCGACGAUCCGUAGCUGGUCUGAGAGGAUGAUUCGCCACCCUGGAACUGAGACACGGUCCAGACUCCUACGGGAGGCAGCAGUGGGGAAUAUUGGACAAUGGGCGAAAGCCUGAUCCAGCCAUACCGCGUGGGUGAAGAAGGCCUUCGGGUUGUAAAGCCCUUUUGUUGGGAAAGAAAGGCAGCAGGUUAAUACCCCGCUGUUCUGACGGUACCCAAAGAAUAAGCACCGGCUAACUUCGUG